This 528-nucleotide ribosomal RNA is filed under the name Triticum aestivum (bread wheat). RNAcentral describes it as "partial small subunit ribosomal RNA". Lineage: Eukaryota; Viridiplantae; Streptophyta; Magnoliopsida; Poales; Poaceae. The record is from RNAcentral.
AUGUUGGAUGUCAGUUCACACACAACGGAAUACGAGAUUGGAGUGGACUAUGCUGAAAUUUAUCGGAGCUCCUCCCUAUAUAGGAAGAACAAACUUCUUAUUGAAGAGCUUGGAAAACCAGCGCCAAACACAGAAGAUCUACAUUUCCCUCCAAGAUAUUGGCUAAACUUUAGGGCACAAUGCAUCGCUUGCCUAUGGAAACAAAGAUGUGCAUAUUGGAAAAAUCUAGAGCAUAAUGUUGUUCGAUUCCUAAACACAUUUGUUCUAUCAAUUAUGUUUGGAAUUGUAUUUUGGUAGACUGGAUCAACCAUUAAACAACAACAAGAUAUAUUCAACAUACUAGGGCUGAUAUACGGAUCAGCAUUGUUUCUUGGCUUCAACAACUGUUGUAUCUUACAACCGGUUGUGGCAACAGAGAGGAUUGUUCUCUACCGAGAAAAGGCAGCAGGCACAUACGCUACAUUGGCCUAUGCCAUAGCUCAGGUGGCAAUUGAAUUGCCUUACAUGCUUGUCCAAAUUCGGAUGUAA